Molecule: long non-coding RNA, 483 nt
Organism: Chelonia mydas (Green sea turtle)
Lineage: Eukaryota; Metazoa; Chordata; Testudines; Cheloniidae
Exons: 2
Source: RefSeq, a predicted model, not a curated record
UUUAACUCCAUCCGUAGGAGUAGCCUUGGAUGGCAGUGGGAGGGCUCAGAGCCAGCGUCCUGGAAUCAUCUCAUGGUGCGUGGAGUGGUGGGGGUGGUGGGGGUGCUAGUCUCACUAUACCUAUGUGGGUUUUGGAAAGGUAGAGGGAAAGUGUUUGCCUACCCGCGACUCGUCUUCAGCAAGCUGCUGACUCAUCCCUCCUGGCAGCCUGGAAGUCUGCAGGAUUCACAGGAAUCUGAGCUCCCCGCAGUGUGUGACAGGGACGGGGACUAGGCCCAGGGAAUUAGAAACAGGAAUCGAGACCCAGCCCUGGAGAAUGGGGAAGGAGACCUGCUCAUGGAGGACAGACGCUUGACCCAGGAACCCAGAGGAAGGGAUCCAUUAGGUGGGGACACGGGUGUGGCCCAGGAAACUGGAGUAGCAUUGCCAAUCCUCCAGGAUGACGGGGAGUCUGCAGGAAUUAAAGAUUAAUUUUUAAUUAAA